RNAcentral lists this ribosomal RNA (1157 nucleotides) under Streptococcus thermophilus. RNAcentral's name for it is "bacterial SSU rRNA". It matches the Rfam family "Bacterial small subunit ribosomal RNA", at positions 359 to 1500 of the family's 1533-position model. Lineage: Bacteria; Bacillati; Bacillota; Bacilli; Lactobacillales; Streptococcaceae. The record is from RNAcentral.
AAUUCUUCCGGCCAAAUGGGGGCCAUCCUGACCGAAGCAUCGGCGCGUGGAGUGAAGAAAGGGUUUUCGGAUCGUAAAGCUCUGUUGUAAGUCAAGAACGGGGUGUGGAGAGUGGAAAGUUCACACUGUGACGGUAGCUUACCCAGAAAGGGACGGCUAACUACGUGCCAGCAGCCGCGGUAAUACGUAGGUCCCGAGCGUUGUCCGGAUUUAUUGGGCGUAAAGCGAGCGCAGGCGGUUUGAUAAGUCUGAAGUUAAAGGCUGUGGCUCAACCAUAGUUCGCUUUGGAAACUGUCAAACUUGAGUGCAGAAGGGGAGAGUGGAAUUCCAUGUGUAGCGGUGAAAUGCGUAGAUAUAUGGAGGAACACCGGUGGCGAAAGCGGCUCUCUGGUCUGUAACUGACGCUGAGGCUCGAAAGCGUGGGGAGCGAACAGGAUUAGAUACCCUGGUAGUCCACGCCGUAAACGAUGAGUGCUAGGUGUUGGAUCCUUUCCGGGAUUCAGUGCCGCAGCUAACGCAUUAAGCACUCCGCCUGGGGAGUACGACCGCAAGGUUGAAACUCAAAGGAAUUGACGGGGGCCCGCACAAGCGGUGGAGCAUGUGGUUUAAUUCGAAGCAACGCGAAGAACCUUACCAGGUCUUGACAUCCCGAUGCUAUUUCUAGAGAUAGAAAGUUACUUCGGUACAUCGGUGACAGGUGGUGCAUGGUUGUCGUCAGCUCGUGUCGUGAGAUGUUGGGUUAAGUCCCGCAACGAGCGCAACCCCUAUUGUUAGUUGCCAUCAUUCAGUUGGGCACUCUAGCGAGACUGCCGGUAAUAAACCGGAGGAAGGUGGGGAUGACGUCAAAUCAUCAUGCCCCUUAUGACCUGGGCUACACACGUGCUACAAUGGUUGGUACAACGAGUUGCGAGUCGGUGACGGCGAGCUAAUCUCUUAAAGCCAAUCUCAGUUCGGAUUGUAGGCUGCAACUCGCCUACAUGAAGUCGGAAUCGCUAGUAAUCGCGGAUCAGCACGCCGCGGUGAAUACGUUCCCGGGCCUUGUACACACCGCCCGUCACACCACGAGAGUUUGUAACACCCGAAGUCGGUGAGGUAACCUUUUGGAGCCAGCCGCCUAAGGUGGGACAGAUGAUUGGGGUGAAGUCGAACAAGAUGCU